AGAGUUUGAUCCUGGCUCAGGAUGAACGCUAGCUACAGGCUUAACACAUGCAAGUCGAGGGGAAACGAUAUUGGAAGCUUGCUUCCGAUAGGCGUCGACCGGCGCACGGGUGAGUAACACGUAUCCAACCUGCCGUCUACUCUUGGACAGCCUUCUGAAAGGAAGAUUAAUACAAGAUGGCAUCAUGAGUUCACAUGUUCACAUGAUUAAAGGUUUUCCGGUAGACGAUGGGGAUGCGUUCCAUUAGAUAGUAGGCGGGGUAACGGCCCACCUAGUCUUCGAUGGAUAGGGGUUCUGAGAGGAAGGUCCCCCACAUUGGAACUGAGACACGGUCCAAACUCCUACGGGAGGCAGCA
RNAcentral lists this ribosomal RNA (356 nucleotides) under uncultured bacterium. RNAcentral's name for it is "bacterial SSU rRNA". It matches the Rfam family "Bacterial small subunit ribosomal RNA", at positions 8 to 353 of the family's 1533-position model. The record is from RNAcentral.